This 781-nucleotide long non-coding RNA is filed under the name Phoenix dactylifera (date palm). RNAcentral's name for it is "long non-coding RNA (PDAC_LNC007935)". The record is from RNAcentral. Lineage: Eukaryota; Viridiplantae; Streptophyta; Magnoliopsida; Arecales; Arecaceae.
AAAGAGGAGGGAGGAGAGGAAGGGGAGACAGAGAGAGGGAAGAAGUUGUUUUGGAAUUCGUCCUCGCGAUCUCCCCAGUGCUAUGCCCGUUGGAAUCCGAUUCGCGUCUCCGACAGCAAAAUAACCGUCUGAUCGGCCGUCUCCGGUGUUUGCCCUCGGUCUCCCGGCCGUGGAUCUGGGGGACCAAGUGGGGGACUAGGGAGAUCUGGUCUGACACUCGCUGGGAUUCUUCGAGACGUGAAUCUUCGUUCAUACAUCUCUCCUAUGUUCGAAAUCUCAAAGUUUUUGGGAUGGUAGAUUGAUUGAGGUUUGGAAAGGCAGCGGCUUGAAUUCAAGGGCACUGGUUCGAUGGAUGCGGAGGCCAUGGGGCUUGCGCUUCUUCGAAUAUGGAUGGUAGCUGCGGACUGAUGGAAGCUCGAUUCGUUCAUCUUCACAACGUCUCUCCUUGUUCUUUUCGUCGAUCUGUUUCUUUUCUCUUUCUUUCUUGUUUUUGUUCUUCUUUUCUUUGUGCAUGUGAUCUGAGUUGAUGAUCUGGUUUGAGCUGAAGGAAAUGGCACUUGGUGAGAGCACGGAGAGGCUAGGGAUGGCCUCGUUUAAAAACAGCAAAUAGUUUUUUUCUCUUGGUGAAUAUGCCAACGACUGGAAACAGAUCGGUAAAUUUUCAUUUUCUCUAUUUUUAUUUCUUUUGAUUCUUUGGUUAAUGGUCUAAAGAUGAAAACCUUUCAACUGGAAGAGAUGCAGAAGAACUAGGGAAGGUUGAGGUGAAGGAGGAGAAAGAGAA